Molecule: ribosomal RNA, 484 nt
Filed under: uncultured bacterium
Lineage: Bacteria
Description: partial 16S ribosomal RNA
Rfam family: Bacterial small subunit ribosomal RNA
Source: RNAcentral
AUUGAACGCUGGCGGCAGGCCUAACACAUGCAAGUCGAGCGGAUGAAGGGAUCUUGCUCCUGGAUUCAGCGGCGGACGAGUGAGUAAUGCCUAGUAACCUCCCUGGCAGUGGGGGAUAACGUCCGGAAACGGGCGCUAAUACCGCAUACGUCCUGAGGGAGAAAGUGGGGGAUCUUCGGACCUCACGCUAUCAGAUGAGCCUAGGUCGGAUUAGCUAGUUGGUGGGGUAAAGGCCUACCAAGCCGACGAUCCGUAACUGGUCUGAGAGGAUGAGCAGUCACACUGGAACUGAGACACGGUCCAGACUCCGACGGGAGGAAGCAGUGGGGAAUAUUGGACAAUGGGCGAAAGCCUGAUCCAGGAAUGCCGAGUGUGUGAAGAAGGUCUUCGGAUUGUAAAGCACUUUAAGUUGGGAGGAAGGGCAGUAAGUUAAUACCUUGCUGUUUUGACGUUACCAACAGAAUAAGCCCCGGCUAAGUUCGUG